AGCGUACACGGUGGAUGCCCUGGCAGUCAGAGGCGAUGAAGGACGUGCUAAUCUGCGAAAAGCGUCGGUAAGGUGAUAUGAACCGUUAUAACCGGCGAUGUCCGAAUGGGGAAACCCAGUGCAAUUCGUUGCACUAUCGUUAACUGAAUACAUAGGUUAACGAGGCGAACCGGGGGAACUGAAACAUCUAAGUACCCCGAGGAAAAGAAAUCAACCGAGAUUCCCCCAGUAGCGGCGAGCGAACGGGGAGCAGCCCAGAGUCUGAAUCAGCUUGUGUGUUAGUGGAACGGUCUGGAAAGUCCGACGGUACAGGGUGAUAGUCCCGUACACCAAAAUGCACAGGUUGUGAACUCGAAGAGUAGGGCGGGACACGUGGUAUCCUGUCUGAAUAUGGGGGGACCAUCCUCCAAGGCUAAAUACUCCUGACUGACCGAUAGUGAACCAGUACCGUGAGGGAAAGGCGAAAAGAACCCCGGCGAGGGGAGUGAAAAAGAACCUGAAACCGUGUACGUACAAGCAGUGGGAGCACCUUCGGGUGUGACUGCGUACCUUUUGUAUAAUGGGUCAGCGACUUAUAUUCUGUAGCAAGGUUAACCGUAUAGGGGAGCCGCAGGGAAACCGAGUCUUAACUGGGCGUUAAGUUGCAGGGUAUAGACCCGAAACCCGGUGAUCUAGCCAUGGGCAGGUUGAAGGUUGGGUAACACUAACUGGAGGACCGAACCGACUAAUGUUGAAAAAUUAGCGGAUGACUUGUGGCUGGGGGUGAAAGGCCAAUCAAACCGGGAGAUAGCUGGUUCUCCCCGAAAGCUAUUUAGGUAGCGCCUCGUGAACUCAUCUUCGGGGGUAGAGCACUGUUUCGGCUAGGGGGUCAUCCCGACUUACCAACCCGAUGCAAACUACGAAUACCGAAGAAUGUUAUCACGGGAGACACACGGCGGGUGCUAACGUCCGUCGUGAAGAGGGAAACAACCCAGACCGCCAGCUAAGGUCCCAAAGUCAUGGUUAAGUGGGAAACGAUGUGGGAAGGCACAGACAGCCAGGAUGUUGGCUUAGAAGCAGCCAUCAUUUAAAGAAAGCGUAAUAGCUCACUGGUCGAGUCGGCCUGCGCGGAAGAUGUAACGGGGCUAAACCAUGCACCGAAGCUGCGGCAGCGACACUAUGUGUUGUUGGGUAGGGGAGCGUUCUGUAAGCCUGCGAAGGUGACCUGUGAGGGUUGCUGGAGGUAUCAGAAGUGCGAAUGCUGACAUAAGUAACGAUAAAGCGGGUGAAAAGCCCGCUCGCCGGAAGACCAAGGGUUCCUGUCCAACGUUAAUCGGGGCAGGGUGAGUCGACCCCUAAGGCGAGGCCGAAAGGCGUAGUCGAUGGGAAACAGGUUAAUAUUCCUGUACUUGGUGUUACUGCGAAGGGGGGACGGAGAAGGCUAUGUUAGCCGGGCGACGGUUGUCCCGGUUUAAGCAUGUAGGCUGGUUGUCCAGGCAAAUCCGGAUAAUCAAGGCUGAGGUGUGAUGACGAGGCACUACGGUGCUGAAGUAACAAAUGCCCUGCUUCCAGGAAAAGCCUCUAAGCAUCAGGUAACAUCAAAUCGUACCCCAAACCGACACAGGUGGUCAGGUAGAGAAUACCAAGGCGCUUGAGAGAACUCGGGUGAAGGAACUAGGCAAAAUGGUGCCGUAACUUCGGGAGAAGGCACGCUGGUGUGUAGGUGAAGUCCCUGCGGAUGGAGCUGAGACCAGUCGAAGAUACCAGCUGGCUGCAACUGUUUAUUAAAAACACAGCACUGUGCAAACACGAAAGUGGACGUAUACGGUGUGACGCCUGCCCGGUGCCGGAAGGUUAAUUGAUGGGGUUAUCCGUAAGGAGAAGCUCUUGAUCGAAGCCCCGGUAAACGGCGGCCGUAACUAUAACGGUCCUAAGGUAGCGAAAUUCCUUGUCGGGUAAGUUCCGACCUGCACGAAUGGCGUAAUGAUGGCCAGGCUGUCUCCACCCGAGACUCAGUGAAAUUGAACUCGCUGUGAAGAUGCAGUGUACCCGCGGCAAGACGGAAAGACCCCGUGAACCUUUACUAUAGCUUGACACUGAACAUUGAGCCUUGAUGUGUAGGAUAGGUGGGAGGCUUUGAAGCGUGGACGCCAGUCUGCGUGGAGCCAACCUUGAAAUACCACCCUUUAAUGUUUGAUGUUCUAACGUUGGCCCCUUACCGGGGUUGCGGACAGUGUCUGGUGGGUAGUUUGACUGGGGCGGUCUCCUCCCAAAGCGUAACGGAGGAGCACGAAGGUUAGCUAAUCCUGGUCGGACAUCAGGAGGUUAGUGCAAUGGCAUAAGCUAGCUUGACUGCGAGCGUGACGGCGCGAGCAGGUGCGAAAGCAGGUCAUAGUGAUCCGGUGGUUCUGAAUGGAAGGGCCAUCGCUCAACGGAUAAAAGGUACUCCGGGGAUAACAGGCUGAUACCGCCCAAGAGUUCAUAUCGACGGCGGUGUUUGGCACCUCGAUGUCGGCUCAUCACAUCCUGGGGCUGAAGUAGGUCCCAAGGGUAUGGCUGUUCGCCAUUUAAAGUGGUACGCGAGCUGGGUUUAGAACGUCGUGAGACAGUUCGGUCCCUAUCUGCCGUGGGCGCUGGAGAAUUGAGGGGGGCUGCUCCUAGUACGAGAGGACCGGAGUGGACGCAUCACUGGUGUUCGGGUUGUCAUGCCAAUGGCACUGCCCGGUAGCUAAAUGCGGAAGAGAUAAGUGCUGAAAGCAUCUAAGCACGAAACUUGCCCCGAGAUGAGUUCU
Molecule: ribosomal RNA, 2771 nt
Filed under: Klebsiella pneumoniae
Lineage: Bacteria; Pseudomonadati; Pseudomonadota; Gammaproteobacteria; Enterobacterales; Enterobacteriaceae
Also listed under: 1 other name
Description: bacterial LSU rRNA
Rfam family: Bacterial large subunit ribosomal RNA
Source: RNAcentral